Cebus imitator (Panamanian white-faced capuchin) is the source of this 92-nucleotide long non-coding RNA. RefSeq lists it as uncharacterized. The transcript has 3 exons. Lineage: Eukaryota; Metazoa; Chordata; Mammalia; Primates; Cebidae. The record is from RefSeq and is a predicted model, not a curated record.
AAACGCUAAUGCAAAGAAAGCUUUAUCCUCAGAGGCAAAUCAACCACCAACAUCAGACCUCCUCCGCCAGUUCCAAGAAAAUGUACCGGGAG